Molecule: ribosomal RNA, 207 nt
Filed under: uncultured Eubacteriales bacterium
Lineage: Bacteria; Bacillati; Bacillota; Clostridia; Eubacteriales
Description: uncultured Clostridiales bacterium partial 16S ribosomal RNA
Rfam family: Bacterial small subunit ribosomal RNA
Source: RNAcentral
UUCGUAGGCGGUAAUUUAAGUCAGAUGUGAAAGGCGCAGGCUCAACCUGUGUAAGCAUUUGAAACUGGAUUACUUGAGUUAAGGAGAGGAAAGUGGAAUUCCUAGUGUAGCGGUGAAAUGCGUAGAUAUUAGGAGGAAUACCAGUGGCGAAGGCGACUUUCUGGACUUAUACUGACGCUGAGGAACGAAAGCGUGGGGAGCAAACAG